UGAUUAUUCUUACUAGGCCAAUUUGCAUAAAAAAUCCAUUAGUUUUGAGCUUUUGCAAAAGUCGACCGUCUUUUUGGUUUUUGUAAAUUCGGGCCGAAUUUUCAGAAGGAUGACCAAACAAGCCCUCUUUCAAAAUGCAUAAAAAUUAUAUGCUUUAAAUGCCUAGAAAAAUACAACUGCUAAGCCAUUAAGUGUAAACUUCUUAAAAAUGACAACUGCUAAGCCAUAAUUACAUGUACCUUUCUCGUGAAAAGAGAAUCCUUAUUCAAGACAAAAUAAAAUAAUAAAGUAUAAUUAAUAAGAUGAAA
Molecule: long non-coding RNA, 308 nt
Filed under: Ananas comosus (pineapple)
Lineage: Eukaryota; Viridiplantae; Streptophyta; Magnoliopsida; Poales; Bromeliaceae
Description: long non-coding RNA (ACOM_LNC014902)
Source: RNAcentral